RNAcentral lists this ribosomal RNA (388 nucleotides) under Trebouxiophyceae sp. RNAcentral describes it as "partial small subunit ribosomal RNA". It matches the Rfam family "Eukaryotic small subunit ribosomal RNA", at positions 582 to 975 of the family's 1831-position model. Lineage: Eukaryota; Viridiplantae; Chlorophyta; Trebouxiophyceae. The record is from RNAcentral.
AUUCCAGCUCCAAUAGCGUAUAUUAAAGUUGUUGCGGUUAAAAAGCUCGUAGUUGGAGUUCUGCCAGGUGGCGCUCGUCCGCCCAAGUGGUGUGUACAGGGCGUGCAUCUGGCCCUUUCAAGGGGAACGUGUCUGCACUUCAUUGUGUGGUGCGAGUUCCUUGACUUUUACUUUGAGUAAAUUAGAGUGUUCAAAGCAGGCCUACGCUCUGAAUACAUUAGCAUGGAAUAACACGAUAGGACUCUGGCCUAUCUUGUUGGUCUGUAGGACCGGAGUAAUGAUUAAGAGGGACAGUCGGGGGCAUUCGUAUUUCAUUGUCAGAGGUGAAAUUCUUGGAUUUAUGAAAGACGAACUACUGCGAAAGCAUUUGCCAAGGAUGUUUUCAUUG